UCCCAGGUGGCUCAGAUGGUAAAGAAUCUGCCUGCAAUGUGGGAGACCUAGGUUCGAUUCCUGGGUUGGGAA
This 72-nucleotide transfer RNA is filed under the name Bos taurus (domestic cattle). It matches the Rfam family "tRNA". From Rfam's summary of the family: Transfer RNA (tRNA) molecules are approximately 80 nucleotides in length. Their secondary structure includes four short double-helical elements and three loops (D, anti-codon, and T loops). The record is from Rfam by way of RNAcentral. Lineage: Eukaryota; Metazoa; Chordata; Mammalia; Artiodactyla; Bovidae. RNAcentral also lists the same sequence under 4 other names.